GGCGGCCUGCGAGUGUUUGUUAGCUGAAGAUGCCCACAGGGAAAUUUACACGCUCCCUUCGGCUGCUGUUUUUCUUUUCUGCACGCAAAAAUACAAUGUCUGUAGAAUCUGUCUGUUCCCUCUGGCAGAAGUCUACUGUGUCUUUAAACGAAUGCUAACAAUACGGCUAAUAUCUGCUCCAGACCACCAGAGACGGCACAGAAUGUCCCGUGUACCUGUGAGUCUCAUCGCAGGCAGUUGAGAGUCCAGGACGUCCUGCUGUAGGAUUCAUCUCUGCUCUGCUCUAAACACUGGGUCACUUUGAUGAAGUGGGAAAAUAUGAAGAAGAACACAUGCUGCACUAAACAGAUUUUUGACCAAUCAAACGCUCCCCCGGGUGAGAAUGCCCCUCCCCCUCCCCUGCUAAUAAGAAUCUUGUUUCUUCUGUCAUUUUUGUACGAUAAACACUUUUGAUACUUUGUUGAGUUGCCAGCUGAUGUCCAAGGUAAAAUCUGUGUCCUGUGUCCCUCCACUGCACUGGUCCGAUCCCCUAACUAUAAAUCUGUCACUGGACAUGGACCUUGCUUUAUUAA
Long non-coding RNA from Sinocyclocheilus anshuiensis, 572 nucleotides. RefSeq lists it as uncharacterized. The record is from RefSeq and is a predicted model, not a curated record. The transcript is spliced from 4 exons. Lineage: Eukaryota; Metazoa; Chordata; Actinopteri; Cypriniformes; Cyprinidae.